RNAcentral lists this ribosomal RNA (491 nucleotides) under uncultured bacterium. RNAcentral describes it as "bacterial SSU rRNA". It matches the Rfam family "Bacterial small subunit ribosomal RNA", at positions 791 to 1275 of the family's 1533-position model. The record is from RNAcentral.
UAGUCCACACCGUAAACGAUGUCUACUAGCUGUGUGAGCAUUUAAUGUAUGCGUAGCGAAGCUAACGCGAUAAGUAGACCGCCUGGGGAGUACGGCCGCAAGGUUAAAACUCAAAUGAAUUGACGGGGGGCCCGCACAAGCGGUGGAGCAUGUGGUUUAAUUCGAUGCAACGCGAAGAACCUUACCAUCCCUUGACAUCCAGAAAAUUCAGCAGAGAUGCAGAAGUGCCUUCGGGAAUUCUGUGACAGGUGCUGCAUGGCUGUCGUCAGCUCGUGUCGUGAGAUGUUGGGUUAAUCCCGCAACGAGCACAACCCUUGUCCUUAGUUACCAGCAUUAAGUUGGGUACUUUAAGGAGACUGCCGGUGACAAACCGGGAGGAAGGUGGGGACGACGUCAAGUCAUCAUGGGCCCUUACGGGGAUGGGGCUACACACGUGCUACAAUGGCAAGUACAGAGGGGAAGCGAGACGGGUGACGUGGGAGCGGGAACCC